Molecule: transfer RNA, 67 nt
Filed under: Hexagonia terminalis
Lineage: Eukaryota; Metazoa; Arthropoda; Insecta; Coleoptera; Carabidae
Description: tRNA-Asp
Source: RNAcentral
AAAGAAUUAGUUAAACUAUAACAUUAGAAUGUCAAACUAAAAUUAUUAUAUUAAAUAAUAUUCUUUA